UUGAUGUAAUCGGCAUGUCUAUUGCAUGCACGCCGGCGGAUCGCGGAGCUUGUUUUCCUGGCGAGGUCGGCCCGAGCGCGCCGUGUUUGGCCGGCCGCGCGAUCCUGACGCGCCGAACUUCGGCCGCGCGCCUCUUACAAAUAGAAGUUAUGUGACUGAAGCGGCACAAACAGAUCCUUUUCGACGCUAUGGAGCAGGAAUUUCCAGUUUGGUAAUGGCAACCUCCAAGACUUGGUACCCAGGUUCAGUCGUAGAAGAUGGUGUAGAAGCAAUGACACUCACUGACUUACCUUCUUCCAUCCGGUUUUGGGAAUUUAUCUAAUCUUAAUCUAUUUUAACUUCAAAUCUUCUUGAUGUAUUAUAAAGAAUUCAGUUACA
Branchiostoma floridae (Florida lancelet) is the source of this 378-nucleotide long non-coding RNA. RefSeq lists it as uncharacterized. The transcript has 2 exons. NCBI's taxonomy places the organism in Eukaryota, Metazoa, Chordata, Leptocardii, Amphioxiformes, Branchiostomatidae. The record is from RefSeq and is a predicted model, not a curated record.